UAGAGCUAGCUUCAUGCUUCGUAGGGGGAGAGAAAAGACAGAGAAUUGGGGUUUCUUUUCUUUGUAGGGUUUUGGGAAGACAGAGGCAGUUGUUGUUGAAAGUCAAUGUUGUACUGGUGAAUCGAGGUAUUUAUGAAGUGGGUGUGAUUACUCUUGACUGUUUUGUGAAAUCAAAGUUAUGUCUGUGAUUGAAGAAUUAAAAGGGUGUCUAUAGGAUUGAGUAUGCGGAGUGAAUGAAAAUUUUUGGGUUAAUCUAACAAGAUAGUCAGUGGAUACAAGGUCAUGAGUAUAAAGCGAUAUCAAAGA
This 306-nucleotide long non-coding RNA is filed under the name Physcomitrium patens. RNAcentral's name for it is "long non-coding RNA (PPAT_LNC008359)". Lineage: Eukaryota; Viridiplantae; Streptophyta; Bryopsida; Funariales; Funariaceae. The record is from RNAcentral.